RNAcentral lists this ribosomal RNA (497 nucleotides) under uncultured bacterium. Its description in RNAcentral is "partial 16S ribosomal RNA". It matches the Rfam family "Bacterial small subunit ribosomal RNA", at positions 28 to 507 of the family's 1533-position model. The record is from RNAcentral.
GAUGAACGCUGGCGGCGUGCCUAAUACAUGCAAGUCGAGCGAACGGGCGAGAGGCUUGCUUUUCUGAUGUUAGCGGCGGACGGGUGAGUAACACGUGGAUAACCUACCUAUAAGACUGGGAUAACUUCGGGAAACCGGAGCUAAUACCGGAUAAUAUUUUGAACCGCAUGGUUCAAAAGUGAAAGACGGUCUUGCUGUCACUUAUAGAUGGAUCCGCGCUGCAUUAGCUAGUUGGUAAGGUAACGGCUUACCAAGGCAACGAUGCAUAGCCGACCUGAGAGGGUGAUCGGCCACACUGGAACUGAGACACGGUCCAGACUCCUACGGGAGGCAGCAGUAGGGAAUCUUCCGCAAUGGGCGAAAGCCUGACGGAGCAACGCCGCGUGAGUGAUGAAGGUCUUCGGAUCGUAAAACUCUGUUAUUAGGGAAGAACAUAUGUGUAAGUAACUGUGCACAUCUUGACGGUACCUAAUCAGAAAGCCACGGCUAACUACGUG